CCUACGGGAGGCUGCAGUGGGGAAUAUUGCACAAUGGGCGCAACCCUGAUGCAGCGACGCCGCGUGAGUGAAGAAGGAUUUCGGUAUGUAAAGCUCUAUUAGUAGAGAAGAAAAUGACGGUACGUGAUUAUUAUGGCCCGGCUAACUUCGAGCCAGCAGCCGCGGUAAUACGUAGGGGGCACGCGUUAUCCGGAUUUACUGGGUGUAAAGGGAGCGUAGACGGUUGCGCAAGUCUGAAGUGAAAUGCCGGGGCUUAACCGGGGAACUGCAUUGGAAACUGGGCAGCUAGAGUGCAGGAGAGGUAAGUGGAAUUCCUAGUGUAGCGGUGAAAUGCGUAGAUAUUAGGAGGAACACCAGUGGCGAAGGCGGCUUACUGGACUGUAACUGACGUUGAGGCUCGAAAGCGUGGGGAGCAAACAGGAUUAGAUACCCUAGUAGUC
RNAcentral lists this ribosomal RNA (440 nucleotides) under uncultured bacterium. Its description in RNAcentral is "partial 16S ribosomal RNA". It matches the Rfam family "Bacterial small subunit ribosomal RNA", at positions 338 to 795 of the family's 1533-position model. The record is from RNAcentral.